Molecule: unclassified non-coding RNA, 346 nt
Filed under: soil metagenome
Description: partial contains 5.8S ribosomal RNA, internal transcribed spacer 2, and large subunit ribosomal RNA
Rfam family: 5.8S ribosomal RNA (bases 1-120)
Source: RNAcentral
GAUGAAGAACGCAGCGAAAUGCGAUAACUAAUGUGAAUUGCAGAAUUCAGUGAAUCAUCGAGUCUUUGAACGCACAUUGCGCCCUCUGGUAUUCCGGAGGGCAUGCCUGUCCGAGCGUCAUUGCUGCCCUCCAGCCCGGCUGGUGUGUUGGGCCCCGUCCCCCUUCCCGGGGGGACGGGCCCGAAAGGCAGCGGCGGCACCGCGUCCGGUCCUCGAGCGUAUGGGGCUUUGUCACCCGCUCUUGUAGGCCCGGCCGGCGCCAGCCGACCCCCUCAAUCUAUUUUUCAGGUUGACCUCGGAUCAGGUAGGGAUACCCGCUGAACUUAAGCAUAUCAAUAGCGGAGGA